GUGAGUCUUCGUGUUGUGAAAACCUAUAAUUUUGACGUGGUGUUGUAUAUUGCUGUGGGCUGCUGUGUAUUGCCGUGUGUCCUGUCAGAUAAACCCCCGCCUUCACGCACUUCGUCGCGGGAGGACAAGGAGACUGCUGGUCCUAGCCUAGUUCAGUACAGUAUAUGUUGUGAGCGUGCUUCAGAUCUCCGGAGAUAGCACGGUACGCUGUGUCCAGCCCAGAGGUGAAAGCCAUCCAAAGCAGAGUAACUGUGCUUUGUGUCCAAGUUGAUACCUGUGGAGAGGAAAGGAAAGAGAGAGUGAGUAACACAAGGAGAACCAGAGGGAACCUGUACUUACAGUACGCUGUGUUCAGCCCAGAGUUGAUACCUGUGGAGAGAAAAGGAGAGAGAGUGGGUAACACGAGGAGAGACCGAGGAAACCUGUACUUACGCCGCUGCCUGUGGAGAAAGAGAAAGCGAGUGAGCACCCAAGGAACGAACUGUGUGAACCAGUACUUACUGUGAGCUGCAAUCAGCGAAGAGCCGUUGCCUGUGGAGGAAGAGAAAGAGUGAGCACCUCGAGAACGAACUGUGUGAACCAGUACUUACCGUGAGCUGUAUUCAGCGAAGAGGAGGAAGAAGGAGGGCGCUACGGAUACCUAAGACUCAGGCCGGGGCCCGAGUCCCACGCCCCGGAUCCCCGUGGCCCCCUUGCUCCCUGACCUCUUCCCGGCCAUAGCCCAUCUGGAGGGCCGAGUCAGAGUUUAGUUUUAAUUGCCCUUUCCCUAUUCCCCAAGCUAUUUUUAAAUAUUUAAAUAAAGAUUGUUUUAUCACUUACUUGUUCUCGUGUUGUUUGGCCAUUGGGUUGGCUUUGGGGACCUCCUCGAGGU
Molecule: long non-coding RNA, 871 nt
Organism: Cyprinus carpio carpio
Lineage: Eukaryota; Metazoa; Chordata; Actinopteri; Cypriniformes; Cyprinidae
Source: Ensembl